GACGAACGCUGGCGGCGUGCUUAACACAUGCAAGUCGAACGGAAAGGCCCUGCUUUUGUGGGGUGCUCGAGUGGCGAAUGGGUGAGUAACACGUGAGUAACCUGCCCUUGACUUUGGGAUAACUUCAGGAAACUGGGGCUAAUACCGGAUAGGAGCUCCUGCUGCAUGGUGGGGGUUGGAAAGUUUCGGCGGUUGGGGAUGGACUCGCGGCUUAUCAGCUUGUUGGUGGGGUAGUGGCUUACCAAGGCUUUGACGGGUAGCCGGCCUGAGAGGGUGACCGGCCACAUUGGGACUGAGAUACGGCCCGGACUCCUACGGGAGGCAGCAGUGGGGAAUAUUGCACAAUGGGCGGAAGCCUGAUGCAGCAACGCCGCGUGCGGGAUGACGGCCUUCGGGUUGUAAACCGCUUUCGCCUGUGACGAAGCGUGAGUGACGGUAAUGGGUAAAGAAGCACCGGCUAACUACGUG
RNAcentral lists this ribosomal RNA (468 nucleotides) under uncultured bacterium. RNAcentral's name for it is "partial 16S ribosomal RNA". It matches the Rfam family "Bacterial small subunit ribosomal RNA", at positions 28 to 507 of the family's 1533-position model. The record is from RNAcentral.